Molecule: ribosomal RNA, 484 nt
Filed under: uncultured bacterium
Lineage: Bacteria
Description: partial 16S ribosomal RNA
Rfam family: Bacterial small subunit ribosomal RNA
Source: RNAcentral
AUUGAACGCUGGCGGCAGGCCUAACACAUGCAAGUCGAGCGGAUGAAGGGAGCUUGCUCCUGGAUUCAGCGGCGGACGGGUGAGUAAUGCCUAGGAAUCUGCCUGGUAGUGGGGGAUAUCGUCCGGAAACGGGCGCUAAUACCGCAUACGUCCUGAGGGAGAAAGUGGGGGAUCUUCGGACCUCACGCUAUCAGAUGAGCCUAGGUCGGAUUAGCUAGUUGGUGGGGUAAAGGCCUACCAAGGCGACGAUCCGUAACUGGUCUGAGAGGAUGAUCAGUCACACUGGAACUGAGACACGGUCCAGACUCCUACGGGAGGCAGCAGUGGGGAAUAUUGGACAAUGGGCGAAAGCCUGAUCCAGCCAUGCCGCGUGUGUGAAGAAGGUCUUCGGAUUGUAAAGCACUUUAAGUUGGGAGGAAGGGCAGUAAGUUAAUACCUUGCUGUUUUGACGUUACCAACAGAAUAAGCACCGGCUAACUUCGUG